Molecule: ribosomal RNA, 495 nt
Filed under: uncultured bacterium
Lineage: Bacteria
Description: partial 16S ribosomal RNA
Rfam family: Bacterial small subunit ribosomal RNA
Source: RNAcentral
UGACCGCUGGCGGCGUGCCUAAUACAUGCACGUCGAGCGAACAGACGAGGAGCUUGCUCCUCUGACGUUAGCGGCGGACGGGUGAGUAACACGUGGAUAACCUACCUAUAAGACUGGGAUAACUUCGGGAAACCGGAGCUAAUGCCGGAUAAUAUAUUGAACCGCAUGGUUCAAUAGUGAAAGACGGUUUUGCUGUCACUUAUAGAUGGAUCCGCGCCGCAUUAGCUAGUUGGUAAGGUAACGGCUUACCAAGGCGACGAUGCGUAGCCGACCUGAGAGGGUGAUCGGCCACACUGGAACUGAGACACGGUCCAGACUCCUACGGGAGGCAGCAGUAGGGAAUCUUCCGCAAAGGGCGAAAGCCUGACGGAGCAACGCCGCGUGAGUGAUGAAGGUCUUCGGAUCGUAAAACUCUGUUAUUAGGGAAGAACAAAUGUGUAAGUAACUAUGCACGUCUUGACGGUACCUAAUCAGAAAGCCACGGCUAACUACGUG